AGGAUGAUGGGGAUCUAAACCCUUCCCAGAGUAUCAAUUGGAGGGCAAGUCUGGUGCCAGCAGCCGCGGUAAUUCCAGCUCCAAUAGCGUAUAUUAAAGUUGUUGCAGUUAAGAAGCUCGUAGUUGAAUUUCUGCCUUGUCUUUGGACUCACUUUUAUGUGUUUUCCAUCUGGCUUGGCAUUUUUCUGGAUUGUAUAAUUUCGGUUAUGCUUUUCCAGAUUUUACUUUGAGAAAACUAGAGUGUUUCAAACAGGGCUUUUGCCUUGAAUACUACAGCAUGGAAUAAUAAAGUAGGACUUUGGUUCUAUUUUGUUGGUUUUCGAACCAUAGUAAUGGUUAAUAGGAGCAGUUGGGGGCAUUCGUAUUUAACUGUCAGAGGUGAAAUUCUUAGAUUUGUUAAAGACGAACUACUGCGAAAGCAUUUGCCAAGGAUGUUUUCCUUAAUCAAGAACGAAAGUUAGGGGA
RNAcentral lists this ribosomal RNA (465 nucleotides) under Babesia sp. 2 BCS-2013. RNAcentral's name for it is "SSU rRNA". It matches the Rfam family "Eukaryotic small subunit ribosomal RNA", at positions 511 to 997 of the family's 1831-position model. The record is from RNAcentral. Lineage: Eukaryota; Apicomplexa; Aconoidasida; Piroplasmida; Babesiidae.